RNAcentral lists this long non-coding RNA (838 nucleotides) under Anas platyrhynchos platyrhynchos (common mallard). Its description in RNAcentral is "lncRNA (ENSAPLG00000016972.1)". Lineage: Eukaryota; Metazoa; Chordata; Aves; Anseriformes; Anatidae. The record is from RNAcentral.
CGACAUUUCUGUAUUGUGUGAACACAUCCUUUUGUAUUUUUAUUACCUUCUAUUUCUGAAACUGAAAUGUUUUGUUUAUUCAAUAAAUUAUUUUGCUGUGCCUCACAUGAAUGAGAAUUGUGGUGGUUUUACUGUUCUAGGCAGCUAAACACCACAACUGCUCUCUCACUCCCCCUCCCUAGAUGAAGAAGUAAAGAACUCAUAGGUUGAGAUAAGGAUAGUUUAAUUAAGAUCUAUUACAAAAACAAAACAAACAAACAAACAUCCAUAAGAGUUCUAGUACAGAAACCAAAAACCCAAACAAGGUUGAUUACUGGCAUUCUGACGCAAUGCAGGAUUACUGCUGCCCCAAGCUUCUAAAGUUCUUUUUGUCAUCAGGCCUGCACCCAACACAAUUUGUCAAGCUUUGAGACACAUUGAAACACAUCAAUUAAAAAUUUAAUUUCCUUAUUCAAAAGUAUUAAUUAAAACAUCCUGCAGGAAGCCAGUUUAUAUGUUUUGCACUUAAGAUUGCAUUCUGAUUGAGGUGAAAGGUGAAUUUACACAUUGAAAAUCUGGUUGCUUCUUUUAUUUUUUUCUUUUCUUUUAUUUAUUUAUUUAUUUUUAAUGAUAGCAAAGAACCGAAUGCAGUGAUCCCUUUAGGGAUGCAGGGAUCUCUUUAGGUCUGCUUUUCUGCCUUCAUUUCCAAUACCAGAGGAAUAAUGCAUUUUCAGUGCCAGAAGAGAAACAGGAGAUGAGGAUUUUACAGGGGAACUGUCAGUUAAACAAGUUUUACACAGCUGUUCUCUCAUCUUCAGAUCAAGUGUGGAAUUUUAGUUUCGUACAUAUUAUUGGGUGA